This 452-nucleotide ribosomal RNA is filed under the name uncultured bacterium. RNAcentral describes it as "bacterial SSU rRNA". It matches the Rfam family "Bacterial small subunit ribosomal RNA", at positions 29 to 524 of the family's 1533-position model. The record is from RNAcentral.
AACGAACGCUGGCGGCAUGCCUAACACAUGCAAGUCGAACGAGACCUUCGGGUCUAGUGGCGCACGGGUGCGUAACGCGUGAGAAUCUGCCCUUGGGUUCGGAAUAACAGCGAGAAAUUGCUGCUAAUACCGGAUGAUGACGUAAGUCCAAAGAUUUAUCGCCCAAGGAUGAGCCCGCGUAGGAUUAGCUAGUUGGUGAGGUAAAGGCUCACCAAGGCGACGAUCCUUAGCUGGUCUGAGAGGAUGAUCAGCCACACUGGGACUGAGACACGGCCCAGACUCCUACGGGAGGCAGCAGUGGGGAAUAUUGGACAAUGGGCGAAAGCCUGAUCCAGCAAUGCCGCGUGAGUGAUGAAGGCCUUAGGGUUGUAAAGGCUCUUUUUACCCGGGAUGAUAAUGACAGUACCGGGAGAAUAAGCUCCGGCUAACUCCGUGCCAGCAGCCGCGGUAAU